CCCCCCCCCAAUUUUCUACUUUUCUAGAAUCUGGUGAGGAAAUUUCAUAAUUUGUUUGCUUAUUUUCAUUAUUUAGUGGAUAAUUUGUGUAAUUCUUAGAUUUCUGUUUGUUUUUAGACAUUAAUAAUUUUUUUAUAGGCAGUAAAUCGUUGUGUACAAAAAUGAAAAGAAAUAAUGUUAAACAAUAAAAAUGAUUUUUUUUUUAAUUUAUUUUUUUAUUUCCUUGACUGACUUUAUUUAUUUAUGCUUCAAGCUAAGACCUAUGUUACCAGAAUGGGUCACAUUUCUAGAAUCUUAUUGAAGCUAAGUUUUUUAAGGUUUUUAGUUUGAUAGGAUCAUUGUUUAACCUUUGCUCAAGUCAAUAUGUUGCUUAUGUGUAACAAUAUAUAUAUCUUUGUACUUUGAAAGACAAAAGAUCAAUAUCAUACCAAUAAAAAUUAAAUAAAAAAUUUGUUUGUUUAAAAUUUAUAACUUUAAAUAUUCCACAAUCAUUGUUUUUGGAUCAUUGAGAAGCUUUUACAUUAUAUAAUCUCUUCUGUUCUUGUAAAAGAUUCUUGGGUAGAGUUCUUUAGAUUAGUGAGAAACCUGGUAUAGUGCAGUUUUGAUUCCAUUAAUUAAUACAUAUUUGGGGUGGGGCAUUACCCUUGAAACCUGAUUUAAAAAUCUUCAAAAGGCUAUAGUUGGUAAACCACAAGGCCUUUAAAUUUAACAGGAAUGUUCUAAUGUGGAUUUUGCUUAUAAAGUGUAGAAAUUGAGCUAUAACAUGAGGAAAAAACUGAAGUCACUUAGCUAUUUUGCAAGCCAUACAACAUGCUUGCCACUGAAAUAAAGAUUUCUAUAUGGGUUGACCCUUCACUCCAUUGAUAAAACAUAAAAUCUUUUCUUUUUAAAAGACUAGCAUCCUCUCACGCUUCAUUCAAUGAAAAUAAAAAGAUUUUAUUUUCAUACCAAAAAUUUAAUACCUGUUUUAAAAAGUUACAAAGAGAAGUUUCUUGAUUGUUUUGUUUUUUUAAUUAUUUUAUUUUGCUAUUUGGAGCCUUGGCUGUAUAAAGUAUAUCUACUAAAUAGUUAUUUAUAUUUUGUCUUUGGCAUGACAUGCCUGAACAAGGGGUUGGUGAUACAUUUGUAACAGUUCAAGAGUUCAGAUGUAUGCUAUUGUGUUAGUUAUUUUAAAAUUGUUUGUAUAUUUUGGAACUGUGAAAGAUUUUUUUUCCACACUUAAUUGUUUGAUCUGUAUUUUGUAUGAUGUUGAAAUACAUUUUGUUUCCAUUUUUUUUUUAUUGAUAAUUGUAUUUAUAAUUUUGUGGGCAAAUGAUUAAACUAUAAAAUAUCU
Biomphalaria pfeifferi is the source of this 1333-nucleotide non-coding RNA. The record is from the annotation of a GenBank genome assembly. NCBI's taxonomy places the organism in Eukaryota, Metazoa, Mollusca, Gastropoda, Planorbidae.